Molecule: ribosomal RNA, 414 nt
Filed under: uncultured bacterium
Lineage: Bacteria
Description: partial 16S ribosomal RNA
Rfam family: Bacterial small subunit ribosomal RNA
Source: RNAcentral
UGGGGAAUUUUGGACAAUGGGCGAAAGCCUGAUCCAGCAAUGCCGCGUGUGUGAAGAAGGCCUUCGGGUUGUAAAGCACUUUUGUCCGGAAAGAAAUCCUUGGCUCUAAUACAGUCGGGGGAUGACGUACCGGAAGAAUAAGCACCGGCUAACUACGUGCCAGCAGCCGCGGUAAUACGUAGGGUGCAAGCGUUAAUCGGAAUUACUGGGCGUAAAGCGUGCGCAGGCGGUUUGCUAAGACCGAUGUGAAAUCCCCGGGCUCAACCUGGGAACUGCAUUGGUGACUGGCAGGCUAGAGUAUGGCAGAGGGGGGUAGAAUUCCACGUNUAGCAGUGAAAUGCGUAGAGAUGUGGAGGAAUACCGAUGGCGAAGGCAGCCCCCUGGGCCAAUACUGACGCUCAUGCACGAAAGCGU